UCCUGCUCAUCCAGUUUGGCUCUGCUCACAAAUGCGUAAAUGCAUAUCGGGUUCUUACACAGAUUCCAUUCCCUGGGACUUUGCAUGCAUUUUUUUGUCGGCUGAGAGGACUCAAUCAGCAUUCCUUCUUGGAGGUACAGGACGCUGGAUCGAACCGUUUGGGUGACUGAAGGGACCAGGUCACACAAAAAUACAAGGAUGAGAGAGAACUGUUGCCUCCCAGUUAUUAAGUGUCCUCUCCCAAACCUCAAGCCCAUCACGGCUACAGCCGCCUCUCUGGCUUGAGAAACAGGCCUGGGGGCUUUGCGCCAGCCACAAUGGUGAUGGAAUCUUCUUCAGAGGUCGCACCCAGAGGAAGAGCCCCAGAUCCAGCACGGCUGAGGCGUUCAGUCUUCUUUUGUCUCCUGUGAAUGGUGACGUACAGUUUGGGAUGAGGCUGGAGAGAGGACUCAGCGGUUAAGA
RNAcentral lists this small RNA (462 nucleotides) under Rattus norvegicus (Norway rat). RNAcentral's name for it is "uncharacterized LOC108352067". The record is from RNAcentral. Lineage: Eukaryota; Metazoa; Chordata; Mammalia; Rodentia; Muridae.